AAACCAGCACCUCAAGUGGUCAGGAUGAUUAUUGGGCCUAAAGCAUCCGUAGCCUGCUUUGUAAGUUUUCGGUUAAAUCUGUACGCUUAACGUACAGGCUGCCGGGAAUACUGCAAAGCUAGGGAGUGGGAGAGGUAGACGGUACUCGGGAGGAAGGGGUAAAAUCCUUUGAUCUCUCGAUGACCACCUGUGGCGAAGGCGGUCUACCAGAACACGUCCGACGGUGAGGGAUGAAAGCUGGGGGAGCAAACCGGAUUAGAAACCCGAGUAGUCC
This 274-nucleotide ribosomal RNA is filed under the name uncultured bacterium. RNAcentral's name for it is "partial 16S ribosomal RNA". It matches the Rfam family "Archaeal small subunit ribosomal RNA", at positions 473 to 747 of the family's 1478-position model. The record is from RNAcentral.